This 253-nucleotide ribosomal RNA is filed under the name uncultured bacterium. RNAcentral describes it as "partial 16S ribosomal RNA". It matches the Rfam family "Bacterial small subunit ribosomal RNA", at positions 524 to 776 of the family's 1533-position model. The record is from RNAcentral.
UACGGGGGGUGCGAGCGUUGUCCGGAAUCACUGGGCGUAAAGGGCGCGUAGGCGGCUUGAUAAGCGUGCGGUGAAAGCCCCGGGCUCAACCUGGGAACGGCGCGCGAGACGGGGGGGCUGGAGUUCGGGAGAGGAGCGUGGAAUUCCCAGUGUAGAGGUGAAAUUCGUAGAUAUUGGGAAGAACACCGGUGGCGAAGGCGGCGCUCUGGACCGAGACUGACGCUGAGGCGCGAAAGCGUGGGGAGCAAACAGG